Molecule: long non-coding RNA, 836 nt
Organism: Maylandia zebra (zebra mbuna)
Lineage: Eukaryota; Metazoa; Chordata; Actinopteri; Cichliformes; Cichlidae
Source: RefSeq, a predicted model, not a curated record
UGCUUGCUCUUGUGAUGACUGGUUGUGUGCUAGCAUAGAUAAGACGAGAGCAGGUUUAAAAAGCAGAAGCAUUUCUGAACUUUUGUCAGAAAGUAAAACUUCAUAUCUCCUCGUACUACAACAGUUACGCUGACAAUAAAUAGCAUCUAUCUGAUUGAACAGUACAAGUAAAAUGAGCAUAAACAUUUUGACUGCCAUCAUCUUCACUGCAUCCUUUUUCCCCUGGGCCAUCAACAUGACUGAAUAUCCAACAUUCCCCUGUUACAACAAAAGCUCAGAAUACAAAUACAACAAAUUUGUCAAAAAUCACAUCCUCCAUGACAGCUUUGACAGAAAUUCUCUAGAUGCUUGGAAAAGGUAUUUGAAAAAGGAAGGCCUCUGGUGCCGAACUCCAGUGCAGUCCUUCAUCAGUGACAGUGAGUGGAAUGUCGACAGGAUCUGCAGCAGUGAUGGUCGUCGCUUGGCUGACUCAGUUACCUACGCAGGCAACUUGUGUAUCAGCAACUCAGAAAUGCUGAUUUAUGAGGUCACAAUUAAGAAAACCAACAAGGGUCGUAAAAUUAAUGUUACUCGAGCCCAGAGGCCUGUCAUUGUUGCGUGCGAUAAGGUUGGAAACAAGUGCCUCCCAGUUCAUUUUCAGAAAUAUGAGCACCAAACCCCAAGCAAUAUACCCUGCAAUCCUGCAAGAAUUGUCAGUAUUGCAGUAGAAUAGGUUUUCAUUAUCAAACGAAUUAAUCUGUUGCAAAAGUUUCAACUCAUCAUCUUUGAAGGGUGUUAUACUAUAAUCACUAUGUCCCUUGUUUGUUACAUUCUAAAAAUAACCCACGAUAGGUGAA